CAGUCAAGAUGGUUGUGAGAAGGAAAAGACAUUCUUCCUCCAAUGACUACAUUAUAAAUGGCAUUAAAACCGUACAAUGAUACAGAGAUGAAGAGUCUAUUAAUCCUUCCUGCAGAAUCAGAGAAAGUUUUACAAUAAACUUGAUAUUUGAAUGUCAUAUUAAAAAAGAAAGAAAGGAUUUUAUCAGUAUGACAUGGUGGGGGUGACAUAUUUUUGCUAAAAGGAAUAGCAAGAAUAAAUGCGUGACAGGUUGAAAUUUCAUGAUGUAUUUAGGGAAUCAUGAAUCUGCUUGUGUGAUUGAAUAAAUGGGCAAAAGCUUGGACACUGUGGGAUAUAAGACUUGAAAGGACAACUGGGGCCAGAAUGUCAAGUAUUUUAGUAUAUUCUAACACCAGAGGAAUGGUUAAAAGUGCAAGAUAAUUUUCCUUGGAAAAUAUACUGGAACUUGUGUAUCAAUAGCUGCCUUCAAAUAGUCAAACUUCUAUAAUAUUAAAAAAUAGUUAUUUUCUGUGUGUCUGUGAAGAGAAAUUUAGAAACUAGUAGAUAAAAAUUGUAGCUACUAGGUGUGGUAGGUUGGAGCACUGAUCUCAAUUUUUUUUUUUUACUUUCUCUUUGCAUUGUAGUUAUGCAUUCAUACCCCUAGCCAUGUGUACAUGCAUCUUUUCCACUUGAAAUACGUAGUACAUUUUCAUGCCACAUUGAUGCUAGGCUGGUGUAUAAUAUGUGUUUUGAAGGAAUAAGGUGGCAGAUCUGAGGAAAGACUCUAACAUAAAUGGUUUUGCUAGCUUUCUGGAACUUCUCUCAACUGCGUUGAGAACUCCUUGAGUAGUUGCUGCUCCGAAGAGGCUGAGAAAACAUACCAAGCAAACCUGAUCUCAGCCCAAAGUAUGAAGACAAACUCAUCGGAAUUCAGCAAAGUCACAGCUCACCUACUUAUCAGAGGAGUAAAAACUGAGAGAACCUUAGUCUCCAAGGCAAUAUCUGUUAAGAGUUGUUCCUCUUGUAACUUGAAGUCUAAGAAAGAGACCUAAAUAUGUAUACCAUAUUUUACCAUGCCCUCCAUCCAUGGUUUCACUUUUUGCAUUUUCUAUUACUUGUGGUCCAAAAAUAUUAAAUGAAAAAUUACAAAAAUAAACAAUUUGUAAGUUUUAAAUUGCAUGCCUAUCUGAGGAUUGUGAUGAAAUCUUGCACCAUCCAAUCUCCAUCCUGCCCAGGACGUGAAUCAUUUCUUUGUCCAGCAUAGCCACACUGCCUACACCGCCCACCCGUCAGUCACAUGGUAAUCUUCUCAUUUAUUAAAUGGAAAAGCAGUGUAUAUAGAGUUUGAUAC
RNAcentral lists this long non-coding RNA (1330 nucleotides) under Macaca mulatta (Rhesus monkey). RNAcentral describes it as "lncRNA (ENSMMUG00000052131.1)". The record is from RNAcentral. Lineage: Eukaryota; Metazoa; Chordata; Mammalia; Primates; Cercopithecidae.